RNAcentral lists this ribosomal RNA (383 nucleotides) under uncultured eukaryote. Its description in RNAcentral is "SSU rRNA". It matches the Rfam family "Eukaryotic small subunit ribosomal RNA", at positions 587 to 972 of the family's 1831-position model. The record is from RNAcentral.
AGCUCCAAUAGCGUAUAUUUAAGUUGUUGCAGUUAAAAAGCUCGUAGUUGGACUUCAGGCAGUCGGCGCCGGUCCGCCCCUAACAGGGUGUGCACUGGCGUCGUCCGCUUUGCUGCCGGGGACGGGCGCCUGGGCUUGACUGUCCGGGCCUCGGAGUCGGCGAGGUUACUUUGAGUAAAUUGGAGUGUUCAAAGCAGGCCUACGCCCUGAACACGUUAGCAUGGAAUAACACGAUAGGACUCUGGCCUAUCCUGUUGGCCUGUGGGACCGGAGUAAUGAUUAAGAGGGACGGUCGGGGGCAUUCGUAUUUCAUUGUCAGAGGUGAAAUUCUUGGAUUUAUGAAAGACGAACUUCUGCGAAAGCAUUUGCCAAGGAUGUUUUCA